UACGGAGGGUGCAAGCGUUGUCCGGAAUCACUGGGUGUAAAGGGUGUGUAGGCGGGGCCACAUGUCAGAGGUGAAAGCCCCCGGCUUAACCGGGGAUCUGCCUUUGAAACUGUGGCUCUUGAGUCUCGGAGAGGUCGCUGGAAUUCGUGGUGUAGCGGUGAAAUGCGUAGAUAUCACGAGGAGCACCAGAGGCGUAGGCGGGCGACUGGACGAGAACUGACGCUGAGGCACGAAAGCGUGGGGAGCAAACAGG
This 253-nucleotide unclassified non-coding RNA is filed under the name uncultured Bacteroidota bacterium. RNAcentral describes it as "uncultured Bacteroidetes bacterium contains 16S-23S intergenic spacer region". It matches the Rfam family "Bacterial small subunit ribosomal RNA", at positions 524 to 776 of the family's 1533-position model. Lineage: Bacteria; Pseudomonadati; Bacteroidota. The record is from RNAcentral.